AUCAUGAGUCUCUCUUACUUUUUUCUUCUUGUUAUCUUUCAUUGUUAAAGAGAAAGUAUAAACAUAGUUCUCACUUUUGCAACAUAAUGGCCAGAAAACUGUUGACAUAUUUGAUUGUCUGGAAAAACAUCACCGUAGAAAAUAACUCAGAAUGACAUUAACUAAGUUGCACGAAUUCUCUCUCUUUUUCUCUUUCUAAUAUGCUAAGUUUGGUAGGAAAUUUCUAGCAUAAGCUACUUCCUGGGUUUAAUUAAAUUCUCUGAAGGCAAAAAGAAAGUAGAACCCAAGAUGAGGUGUUUUAUCCAAGGAAGUUGAUAAUCACCAAAUGGAGAACCAGGUUGCACAGGACGAAAUCUGCAAAAGCUCGUUCG
This 371-nucleotide unclassified non-coding RNA is filed under the name Hevea brasiliensis (rubber tree). The record is from RNAcentral. Lineage: Eukaryota; Viridiplantae; Streptophyta; Magnoliopsida; Malpighiales; Euphorbiaceae.